UUAGAAGAGACGCAUUUAUUAGAUAAAAAGCCAGUUCAUGCUUUUACAGUAUGAAAAUUGGUGAUUUAUAAUAACUUAGCAAAUCGCAAAGUGAAAACAGGCGAUAAAUCAUUCAAGUUUCUGACCUAUCAGCUUUCGACGGUAUGGUAUUGGCUUACCGUGGCAGUGACGGUUAACGGGGGAUUAGGGUUCGAUUCCGGAGAGGGAGCCUGAGAAACGGCUACCACAUCUAAGGAAGGCAGCAGGCGCGCAAAUUACCCAAUUCUAACAGUUUGAGAGAGGUAGUAACAAGAAAUAACAAUACAAGGCAGUUAAAAUGCUUUGUAAUUGGAAUGAUAGAAAUUUAAACCCUUUUUAAAGUAUCAAUUGGAGGGCAAGUCUGGUGCCAGCAGCCGCGGUAAUUCCAGCUCCAAUAGCGUAUAUUAAAAUUGUUGCAGUUAAAAAGCUCGUAGUUGAAGUUCUGCUAAAAGUAACCGGUCUGCUUUUAAUAAAAGUGGUAUCUUGGUAUGUAUUUAGCAAUGAUGUCCUUUGAAGUGUUUUUUACUUUAUUGUAAUAAAGCAUAUUCAGGACUUUUACUUUGAGAAAAUUAGAGUGUUUCUAGCAGGCUGACGCUUUGAA
Molecule: ribosomal RNA, 619 nt
Filed under: Hepatozoon canis
Lineage: Eukaryota; Apicomplexa; Hepatozoidae
Description: SSU rRNA
Rfam family: Eukaryotic small subunit ribosomal RNA
Source: RNAcentral